AACGAACGCUGGCGGCAGGCCUAACACAUGCAAGUCGAACGCUCGUAGCAAUACGAGAGUGGCAGACGGGUGAGUAACACGUGGGAACCUUCCCUAUGGUUCGGAAUAGCUCAGGGAAACUUGAGGUAAUACCGGAUAAGCCCUUACGGGGAAAGAUUUAUCGCCAUUGGAUGGGCCCGCGUCGGAUUAGCUAGUUGGUGAGGUAACGGCUCACCAAGGCGACGAUCCGUAGCUGGCUGAGAGGAUGAUCAGCCACACUGGGACUGAGACACGGCCCAGACUCCUACGGGAGGCAGCAGUGGGGAAUAUUGGACAAUGGGCGCAAGCCUGAUCCAGCCAUGCCGCGUGAGUGACGAAGGCCUUAGGGUUGUAAAGCUCUUUUGGCGGGGGAAGGAUAAUGACGGUACCCGCAGAAUAAGCUCCGGCUAACUUCGUGCCAGCAGCCGC
This 447-nucleotide ribosomal RNA is filed under the name uncultured bacterium. RNAcentral's name for it is "bacterial SSU rRNA". It matches the Rfam family "Bacterial small subunit ribosomal RNA", at positions 29 to 518 of the family's 1533-position model. The record is from RNAcentral.